This 774-nucleotide ribosomal RNA is filed under the name Salmonella enterica. RNAcentral's name for it is "partial 23S ribosomal RNA". It matches the Rfam family "Bacterial large subunit ribosomal RNA", at positions 2160 to 2925 of the family's 2925-position model. The record is from RNAcentral. Lineage: Bacteria; Pseudomonadati; Pseudomonadota; Gammaproteobacteria; Enterobacterales; Enterobacteriaceae.
AAGUGUGGACGCCAGUCUGCAUGGAGCCGACCUUGAAAUACCACCCUUUAAUGUUUGAUGUUCUAACGUGGACCCGUGAUCCGGGUUGCGGACAGUGUCUGGUGGGUAGUUUGACUGGGGCGGUCUCCUCCUAAAGAGUAACGGAGGAGCACGAAGGUUGGCUAAUCCUGGUCGGACAUCAGGAGGUUAGUGCAAUGGCAUAAGCCAGCUUGACUGCGAGCGUGACGGCGCGAGCAGGUGCGAAAGCAGGUCAUAGUGAUCCGGUGGUUCUGAAUGGAAGGGCCAUCGCUCAACGGAUAAAAGGUACUCCGGGGAUAACAGGCUGAUACCGCCCAAGAGUUCAUAUCGACGGCGGUGUUUGGCACCUCGAUGUCGGCUCAUCACAUCCUGGGGCUGAAGUAGGUCCCAAGGGUAUGGCUGUUCGCCAUUUAAAGUGGUACGCGAGCUGGGUUUAGAACGUCGUGAGACAGUUCGGUCCCUAUCUGCCGUGGGCGCUGGAGAACUGAGGGGGGCUGCUCCUAGUACGAGAGGACCGGAGUGGACGCAUCACUGGUGUUCGGGUUGUCAUGCCAAUGGCACUGCCCGGUAGCUAAAUGCGGAAGAGAUAAGUGCUGAAAGCAUCUAAGCACGAAACUUGCCCCGAGAUGAGUUCUCCCUGAGACUUUAGGUCUCCUGAAGGAACGUUGAAGACGACGACGUUGAUAGGCCGGGUGUGUAAGCGCAGCGAUGCGUUGAGCUAACCGGUACUAAUGAACCGUGAGGCUUAACCUUACA